RNAcentral lists this ribosomal RNA (406 nucleotides) under uncultured Glomeromycotina. RNAcentral's name for it is "SSU rRNA". It matches the Rfam family "Eukaryotic small subunit ribosomal RNA", at positions 688 to 1092 of the family's 1831-position model. The record is from RNAcentral. Lineage: Eukaryota; Fungi; Glomeromycota.
GCUGAUUCCUCCUUUCUGAAGAACUGUAAUGUCAUUAAUUUGGUGUUGCAGGGAAACAGGACUGUUACUUUGAAAAAAUUAGAGUGUUUAAAGCAGGCUAACGCUUGAAUACAUUAGCAUGGAAUAAUGAAAUAGGACGUUCGAUCCUAUUUUGUUGGUUUCUAGGAUUGGCGUAAUGAUUAAUAGGGGUAGUUGGGGGCAUUAGUAUUCAAUUGUCAGAGGUGAAAUUCUUGGAUUUAUUGAAGACUAACUACUGCGAAAGCAUUUGCCAAGGAUGUUUUCAUUAAUCAAGAACGAAAGUUAGGGGAUCGAAGACGAUCAGAUACCGUCGUAGUCUUAACCAUAAACUAUGCCGACUAGGGAUCGGAUGAUGUUAAUUUUUUAAUGACUCAUUCGGCGCCUUACG